ACGGCGAGUGAAGCGGCAACAGCUCAAAUUUGAAAUCUGGCCUCACGGUCCGAGUUGUAAUUUGUAGAGGAUGUUUUGGGUACCGCCGCGGUUUAAAUUUCUUGGAACAGAAUGUCAAAGAGGGUGAGAGUCCCGUCUUGGAUUGCGGUAGGGCCUGUGUAAAACUCCUUCGACGAGUCGACUUGUUUGGGAAUGCAGGUCAAAAUGGGUGGUAAAUUUCAUCUAAAGCUAAAUAUUGGCCAGAGACCGAUAGCGCACAAGUAGAGUGAUCGAAAGAUGAAAAGCACUUUGAAAAGAGAGUUAAACAGUAUGUGAAAUUGUUGAAAGGGAAGCGCUGGCAACCAGACUCGUGCGCGGGGUUCCCCCUUGCUUCUGCUUGGGUCACUUCCCCGUGUCCGGGCCAUCAUCAGUUUCGGGGGCCGGUUAAAGGCUCUGGGAAUGUAUCUACUCCUUCGGGGGUAGACUUAUAGCCCAGGGUGUCAUGCGGCCACUCGGGACUGAGGAACGCGCUUCGGCGAGGAUGAUGGCGUAAUGGUUGUCAGCGACCCGUCUUGAAACACGGACCAAGGAGUCUAACAUCUAUGCGAGUGUUCGGGUGUCAAACCCUUGCGCGGAAUGAAAGUGAACGGAGGUAGGAAGGCUUAAGCCUGCACUAUCGACCGAUCCUGAUGUCUUCGGAUGGAUUUGAGUAAGAGCAUAGCUGUUGGGACCCGAAAGAUGGUGAACUAUGCGUGAAUAGGGUGAAGCCAGAGGAAACUCUGGUGGAGGCUCGCAGCGGUUCUGACGUGCAAAUCGAUCGUCAAAUUUGCGUAUAGGGGCGAAAGAC
This 826-nucleotide ribosomal RNA is filed under the name Knufia peltigerae. RNAcentral describes it as "eukaryotic LSU rRNA". It matches the Rfam family "Eukaryotic large subunit ribosomal RNA", at positions 86 to 931 of the family's 3401-position model. Lineage: Eukaryota; Fungi; Ascomycota; Eurotiomycetes; Chaetothyriales; Trichomeriaceae. The record is from RNAcentral.